RNAcentral lists this ribosomal RNA (579 nucleotides) under Triticum aestivum (bread wheat). RNAcentral's name for it is "partial small subunit ribosomal RNA". The record is from RNAcentral. Lineage: Eukaryota; Viridiplantae; Streptophyta; Magnoliopsida; Poales; Poaceae.
GUUGUGCGCAAGGCUAACGGGAAAUGGAGACUUUGUAUUGACUUCAUUGAUGUUAAUAAAGCUUGUCCCAAAGACCCAUUUCCCUUGCCACGUAUUGACCAGAUUGUUGACUCCACAGCCGGAUGUGAUUUGCUUUCAUUUCUUGAUGCAUACUCAGGAUACCAUCAAAUCUUCAUGGCAGAAGAAGAUGAAGAGAAAACCGCAUUUAUCACCCCAUUCGCAAGGGUAGUCCACCACGCUUUUGAGCUGCAGAUGCACAGAAAUGUGGAAGCCUACAUGGAUGACAUAGUGGUCAAGACCAAGAACAGGGCGACCCUGAUUCAAGAUUUAGACGAGACAUUUGCAAAUCUGCGCAAGAUCAACCUCAAGCUCAACCCUGAGAAGUGCGUGUUUGGGGUCCCCUCCGGCAAGCUUCUCGGGUUCUUCAUGUCUCAGCGGGGAAUUGAAGCCAAUACCGACAAGAUCAAGCACCUACAUCCGAUAUUAAGUCUUUCAGGUGCGGUUGAAUUGGCAACUCAACUGUUAAUACUUGAGAAUAUUCUUUGGCUCCCCUUAUGUCGAAUCAAUAAAUUUGGGUUG